This 345-nucleotide unclassified non-coding RNA is filed under the name soil metagenome. RNAcentral describes it as "partial contains 5.8S ribosomal RNA, internal transcribed spacer 2, and large subunit ribosomal RNA". The stretch from base 1 to 121 matches the Rfam family "5.8S ribosomal RNA", at positions 35 to 154 of the family's 154-position model. The record is from RNAcentral.
GAUGAAGAACGUAGCGAAAUGCGAUAAGUAAUGCGAAUUGCAGAAUUUCCGUGAGUCAUCGAAUCUUUGAACGCACAUUGCGCCCACUGGUAUUCCGGUGGGCAUGCCUGUUCGAGCGUCAUUAUCCUCCCUCAAACCCCGGGUUUGGUGUUGGACCCAAGUUGUGUGAACAACUGGUCUCAAAGACAAUGACGGCGUCCGUGGGACCCUCGGUGCAACGAGCUUUUAGGAGCACGCAUCGAGUUGCAAGGACCUUCCGGGCCGGUCUCCUUUACCAUUUUACAAGGUUGACCUCGGAUCAGGUAGGAAUACCCGCUGAACUUAAGCAUAUCAAUAAGCGGAGAA